GUAAAGAACAACUGAAAGGUCUGUCUAUAUAUUGUCAACUGUAUGCCAAUAAUUCCACCAGUCAGUAAAAACAGCAACACUAUUUUCAUAUACCAGUUUGCUUUAAUUUUAAAUUCAGCUCAUUGCAACAAAAAAUGGCCCCUAUAUCUGAGAGGCCUUGACCAUCAGACUUCUCAUCUGUAGGAGAUUUCCUUUAAGAUCUCAUAUUGGCAUAUAAGAAAAAUAUUCUAUUUCAUUGCGAAGAUGACUUGCAUCAGAGUUUUAUCGAAAUUAUUUAUUGCCAUUAUUUUGAUUAAAACUUUUUGACAGUACAUACUUAGUUGGGACAGAUUUUACUGUCCAAAAUCAUUUUACUGAUAAUAAAAUUACAUCUGUCACAUUCAUUAUUUAUGUUGUAUGCAUUAUCUGCAGUUGUUGAUGCCACUUUCAAGCAAGUAUAAUGAAGUACGAAAAAAAAAAAAAACUUGACUGCCACAAUGUGGAGGAAAACAGACAAUGGAGUUUUAUCCUUCAGAUCUUACCCUGACAAGGCUCCCACUGAAGUAAAGGGAAGUUUUUUUGCCUGAAUAAGGACUGGAACCAUCUUCAGAGGCCCAAGUGUACAAAAGGAAUAUGUUUAACAAAAUUAUAAAAAUCCACAACAUUCCAAGCUUCUUAAAUAUGCAUGUUUGUAACCCUGUUACCCUCCUUCAGUUUACAAGAAAUUCUUGCUUCUCUCAAGGUGAUUCUAGGGACCAGAAAUUAUGUUUAAAAAAAAAAGUAAGUAACUUGUAAGGCAGCAAAGAGUUAGAUGUAAUUGUUUACAUUCGGAAGAGUACUUUACAAAAAAGGCAGGCUACAAAAUUUAGUGGAAGGAUGAUGUGUUUUGUGUUGGCAAGAUCUUGCAUUCAUGAAGAAUUUUAUGAUGAGAAGAAAAUGCAGAAGUCUGCAUCACAGGAGCUGUAGAGCUCUUCCUUUGUUGGAAUUCAUGAUGAGGGCCACAUUCCCUGUUUUUCCAAGAUAAAGAUAUUUAGUUCUUCUUUUCCAUCCUACCAAGAAAAACAGGAGAAUUCAGUGAAGGUCUUAGUAUUUAUAUAUAAUUAUUGACUAAGACUUGAACAUACUGUGAAAAAUCAAAGGCUGGGUAUGAAAGACUUACUAAAU
RNAcentral lists this long non-coding RNA (1143 nucleotides) under Gopherus evgoodei (Goodes thornscrub tortoise). RNAcentral describes it as "lncRNA (ENSGEVG00005010188.1)". Lineage: Eukaryota; Metazoa; Chordata; Testudines; Testudinidae. The record is from RNAcentral.